CACAAAUUAAAAUAUGAAGGCUUCGGCUGGAUUAUUUUUAUCACCCUUGUCUUUUGCGCACUUGUUGUUUCCUGGGCGGGUUCGCCCGCCACCAGGACCACACCAUAAACCUUUUUUAUGCAGUUGCAAUCAGCAUCAGUAUAACAAAUGUAAAUCAUUUA
RNAcentral lists this unclassified non-coding RNA (161 nucleotides) under soil metagenome. RNAcentral describes it as "partial internal transcribed spacer 1". The record is from RNAcentral.